Anastrepha obliqua is the source of this 102-nucleotide small nucleolar RNA. RefSeq annotates it as small nucleolar RNA Z279/snoR105/snoR108. NCBI's taxonomy places the organism in Eukaryota, Metazoa, Arthropoda, Insecta, Diptera, Tephritidae. The transcript has a single exon. The record is from RefSeq and is a predicted model, not a curated record.
GGGAAAUGAGGAUUGGGUGUGAACUUGCUUAUAAUGCAUGAUGGAUGUUUGCCCAAAACUUUUGUUACGACUAAUAGAACAUCCGUGGCAUUAUCUGAUCCC